GAUGAACGCUGGCGGCGUGCCUAAUACAUGCAAGUCGAGCGAACAGACGAGGAGCUUGCUCCUCUGACGUUAGCGGCGGACGGGUGAGUAACACGUGGGUAACCUACCUAUAAGACUGGGAUAACUUCGGGAAACCGGAGCUAAUACCGGAUAAUAUAUCGAAACGCAUGGUUCAAUAGUGAAAGAUGGUUCUGCUGUCACUUAUAGAUGGAUCCGCGCCGCAUUAGCUAGUUGGUAAGGUAACGGCUUACCAAGGCAACGAUACGUAGCCGACCUGAGAGGGUGAUCGGCCACACUGGAACUGAGACACGGUCCAGACUCCUACGGGAGGCAGCAGUAGGGAAUCUUCCGCAAUGGGCGAAAGCCUGACGGAGCAACGCCGCGUGAGUGAUGAAGGUCUUCGGAUCGUAAAACUCUGUUAUUAGGGAAGAACAAAUGUGUAAGUAACUAUGCACGUCUUGACGGUACCUAAUCAGAAAGCCACGGCUAACUACGUG
RNAcentral lists this ribosomal RNA (497 nucleotides) under uncultured bacterium. Its description in RNAcentral is "partial 16S ribosomal RNA". It matches the Rfam family "Bacterial small subunit ribosomal RNA", at positions 28 to 507 of the family's 1533-position model. The record is from RNAcentral.